This is a long non-coding RNA of Thunnus maccoyii (southern bluefin tuna), 2098 nucleotides long. RefSeq lists it as uncharacterized. Lineage: Eukaryota; Metazoa; Chordata; Actinopteri; Scombriformes; Scombridae. The record is from RefSeq and is a predicted model, not a curated record. The transcript is spliced from 3 exons.
CUUACUGCUAAACUUUUCCUCUGCUCCACUCGCGUUCACGUCAUAUUUCUGCCGCUCGCCCUCUGCGGUCGUGCAACUACACACGCACAUUUACACACACAUACACACACACGCACUGCUUUAUUCCUUAACGGCGCAACACUACUCCUGCAAAAACACGUAGAUGUCCUUUGACGAACAAAGAGAGUGAAGAUGACUAAAAAAUCCACAAUAACGUAGCGGUGCGCCGCUGCUGAAUGAAUAUCAGGGAAACACUGUAUACUGUAUAUUGACACACAGACUUGAAGCAAUACAGACCCAACCCAGCCUGACUGUAUACAAUUUGGAUCUGGCCAGUCUCAGGUCCCUGUUCAGGUUAUUAGGAAUCAAGUGGAGCCAUGAAGGCGUCUCCCCACAUCUUUCCAUUACUAAACAGUAGACAGAAAUAGCAAGUGACAGAUAGUGAAGAAAGACAAAGAGUUGGAGAGCGAUAGAUGCAGAUAGUUUUCUCAGAAGUUGGAAGAGACUGAACUAGUGGUAAAAAGAGAGUGAAUAUUGGACUUUGUCAGGUGACUAGAAAAACAACUCCAACUGGGUACACUGAGCACUGACUGUGCAUCUGUUAGCUUGUUUUGAUGUUUGUUUUUAUGCCCCCUAGUGGCCCAAAAGUGAUUAAUGCAUUUUAAAUCAAAUUUAAAGUACAUUUUCAUAGAUUUCUUGGCCACUUGGGGACAGCAUGGCAAGUCCGAAACAUAACUUUGGCACACUAGCACAUUAAAGAGUUAUUAUAGCAAAUAUGUUAGCAAACAAUUGCAGUUUACACAUCCAGCUAAUACGCAGGAGAAUUAUCAUUCAUUUGGAGUCGUGUUUAUUUCCACCUGAUGAAUCGAGGUGGGGAUUACACUGAGGACGAAGCGUCCUCCGGCUCCUCCUACAAACUGAAAAGGCAUCUUUCAAUGGUCUGAAGGCCAGCCUAGGCACAAUGUGUGACCACAGAUGGGGACCCGUCAUUGAGGCCUUGGUCUUCGUAGUGGUACCUCAUGUUGUGUUGUGGCCAGAGCCUUUGAUAUGCCCCAAGCCACCAUGCACCGGGCAGUCCACAUAACCAGCAGGAAAGUCUUCUCUCUCCUCCCCUAGGUCAUCUGCCUUCCACCUGAGGAGGAUUUGCCUCACCUGGGUCCAUGUUUCACACAUUUAGCCAGGUCAGCAGCCUUUAGAAGGGUAGUUGGAAGCAUUUAUGGCUGCCACGUCCGUGUGAAGCCACCAACAGAGGACGCAGCCUGUUACCUGAAUAGAAAACUAUUCUAUUCUGUUCAGUUUCAGGCUGUCUGUGACCACAGAGCCAAGUUCAUUCAUGUAUUCAUCUGUUUCCCUGGGCCGCGAUGGUGUUAAAGCACAACCCCCAUUUAUUAGCAACAGAAAUACCCUCCACCAGGGUUCUGCGUCAUUGGGGAUGAUGGCUACCCCUGCCUCAAACAACCCAUCACCCUCAUGACCCCUUACAGACAGCCUCUCCACAACCAACUCCACGUUUGCUUAAAUAGUCACCUGUCUAAAGCGAGAUGUAUUGUGGAGAGAGCUUUUGGCAUCCCAAAGAUCAGGUGGAGGUCCAUCUUCUUGAAGCCCUCUAUGUCCCGGAGGUCAUCGCCUGCUACACAGUCCUGUACAACAUCUGUCUCAGCAAUGGGGACCUGUUGGAGCCAGAGGAUGUUGAUGGAGGCAGCAGCAGGGGACCACCCAGAACCAGCACCUCCAGGCGCCAUCUGUGGAGCAGAGGACAGGCACGGGAUGACAAUGCUGUGUUGUGCACCAAAUCACGACUAUGCUCUGUAAAUUUUUGUACUAUAUUAUUGUACUGAUGUCUCGCUGUUUCCUGUUGCCCUGCACGGCUUGUGGUCUGUCUUGAGAGUUCUUGUUUUGUUGCUGUUCUUAUGGCAUCUUAUUGUCUUUGUUCUGUAAAUUUGAUCACUUUAUAGGUUUCAAAACAUCUUGCCAGCGGACUGCAGUUGAAAAUUAGCGAGCUUGCUAACACUGGCACAUGCUGAUUAAUGUGUUGUCCUUAUAAAUAAGUAAAUAAAUAAAUAUAAUAAUAAAUAUAAAUAAAUUAUAUAUAAAUGAA